RNAcentral lists this long non-coding RNA (201 nucleotides) under Gossypium barbadense (sea-island cotton). Its description in RNAcentral is "long non-coding RNA (GBAR_LNC020952)". The record is from RNAcentral. Lineage: Eukaryota; Viridiplantae; Streptophyta; Magnoliopsida; Malvales; Malvaceae.
UGGUAUUAUCUAGCCUGGCAAUGACACUGUCACCCAUUUCUAACAUUCUAUUCUUCUAUGGAAUUGAUAUUAUUUUAAUAAUAUGAUCAUUUAUAACAUUUAACUUCUUUACACUGUCCCAUAUGAAACAUCAAGUGAAUUGACAUCCGAAGAAGUAAAGAAAUGAUUUUUGAGGUCUCGGAAGCAUUGAAGAUAAUCCGG